CCUAAUACAUGCAAGUCGAACGCUGAAGCACUCUGCUUGCAGAGUGUGGAUGAGUGGCGAACGGGUGAGUAACACGUGGGGAAUCUGCCUAGGAGUGGGGGAUAACAUUCGGAAACGGAUGCUAAUACCGCAUAGAUUCGCGAACCGCAUGGUUCAUGAAUGAAAGACGGCUUUGCUGUCGCUCUUAGAUGAUCCCGCGGCGUAUUAGUUAGUUGGUGAGGUAAUGGCUCACCAAAGCAACGAUACGUAGCCGACCUGAGAGGGUGAUCGGCCACACUGGGACUGAGACACGGCCCAGACUCCUACGGGAGGCAGCAGUAGGGAAUCUUCCACAAUGGGUGCAAACCUGAUGGAGCAAUGCCGCGUGAAUGAAGAAGGUCUUCGGAUCGUAAAGUUCUGUUAUUAGAGAAGAACAAGUUGAGGAGUAACUGCCUCAACCUUGACAGUAUCUAACCAGAAAGUCACGGCUAACUACGUG
Molecule: ribosomal RNA, 478 nt
Filed under: uncultured Atopostipes sp.
Lineage: Bacteria; Bacillati; Bacillota; Bacilli; Lactobacillales; Carnobacteriaceae
Description: bacterial SSU rRNA
Rfam family: Bacterial small subunit ribosomal RNA
Source: RNAcentral